UUGACGGGGCCCGCACAAGCGUGGAGUAUGUGGUUUAAUUCGAUGCAACGCGAAGAACCUUACCUGGUCUUGACAUCCCGGAGACCCUUAGGAAACUAGGGGGUGCUUCCAUCUGGAAGAAUCUGGAGACAGGUGCUGCAUGGCUGUCGUCAGCUCGUGUCGUGAGAUGUUGGGUUAAGUCCCGCAACGAGCGCAACCCUUGCCUUUAGUUGCCAGCAGUUCGGCUGGGCACUCUAAAGGGACUGCCGGUGUUAAACCGGAGGAAGGUGGGGAUGACGUCAAGUCCUCAUGGCCUUUAUGACCAGGGCUACACACGUACUACAAUGGCCGAUACAAAGGGCAGCGACACUGCGAGGUGAAGCCAAUCCCGUAAAAUCGGUCUCAGUCCGGAUUGGAGUCUGCAACUCGACUCCAUGAAGUUGGAAUCGCUAGUAAUCGUGGAUCAGCAUGCCACGGUGAAUACGUUCCCGGGCCUU
RNAcentral lists this ribosomal RNA (476 nucleotides) under uncultured Desulfobulbus sp. RNAcentral's name for it is "bacterial SSU rRNA". It matches the Rfam family "Bacterial small subunit ribosomal RNA", at positions 910 to 1382 of the family's 1533-position model. Lineage: Bacteria; Pseudomonadati; Thermodesulfobacteriota; Desulfobulbia; Desulfobulbales; Desulfobulbaceae. The record is from RNAcentral.